Balaenoptera ricei (Rice's whale) is the source of this 2368-nucleotide RNA transcript. It is a transcript of the gene named cytochrome b-c1 complex subunit 9, with no coding region annotated. The transcript is spliced from 3 exons. NCBI's taxonomy places the organism in Eukaryota, Metazoa, Chordata, Mammalia, Artiodactyla, Balaenopteridae. The record is from RefSeq and is a predicted model, not a curated record.
UCGGUCGCGGUGCAUGCGCGGUGGCGCUAGUUCGGCAGCGGACAAACAUGGCGGGCCCAACGUUGACUGCGAGAUUGUACUCCCUGCUGUUCCGCAGGACCUCUACCUUUGCCCUCACCAUAGCCGUGGGCGCCCUGUUCUUCGAGCGCGCCUUCGAUCAAGGCGCGGACGCGAUCUACGAACACAUCAACGAAGGGACUGAAAGCCAAGGGCAGGCUCCAGCCGGCAUCAAGGACAAGGCAAUGAUGGAAUGCAGAGAGCGUCGGCUGGGAGCUCUUCCAUUGACAGUCUGUGAGUACAACGGUGCUGACCGCCUUCCUGCUGCUCCUGGCUUAUCCUGCCUUCAGGACUCCUGCAUGGAAACUUCCUCGACUGCUCUGGACACUUCCUCUCCACUGAACCCUCAGAAGGCUGCCAGGUCAACUCCCCUGCUCAAACGCCUUUAAUAGCUCCCCACUACCUAUAAGAUCAAGUUCAAAUUCCUCAGCCUGACAUUUAAGAUCCAGGCUACUUCAAACCUCACUUAAUACACCUUCCAAAUAGGGCCCUUUGCUCUCUCAUCUUGUGCUUAAACAUGGAUUAUGGGGAUUCCCUGGUGGUCUAGUCCUAACCAGGACUUUGCGCUUUCACUGCCGAGGGCACGGGUUCAAUCCCUGGUCGGGGAACCAAGAUCCCGCGAGCUGCGCGGUAUGACCACCACCACCAACAACAAAAACACAUGGAUUAUGGAAACAGAACAUGCCCGAGUUUGAACUCCAGCUCUGCGCCUCUACAGCCAGGCGACUUUGGGUCAUCCUGAGCCCAGAGGCCUCUGGGAAGACUGCCCUGGACGAGUCAGGGCAGCUGUGCUGAGGGGGUGAGACGUGGGGUGCCCAGAAAGCUGGCUGGAGCAUUGGUGGGAGGCACCCGCCACCCCUCACCUGGCUCCCUGUGAGCAAGGCCCUGCGAGUUCACUGGCCACCUCACAGCAGGCCACGACUGUACACGCCUUAUCCCAGCCAUCCUGCCAGCAUCUCCAAUUUACAGACAAGACAACUGUGGCUCAGAGAGGUGAGGCCACCUUGCUCAGAGUCACACAGACAGACAGUGGCUGAGACCAGCUGGCUUCUGACCCCAGAGCCUGGCCCCUGCUCUGAAUGGCAAAAGCGAAAUAGACCACUGGCCAUUCAGAAGCCCCAGAUCCCCAAGGAAAAGUUCUGGCCUGGCCAUUGCAUGUUACUCUGAGUUACGACUCUCGGGGAGGAACCAAUGCCUUUUUGUGCAGACCCCUCCUGAGCGGGGGAGUCUGGUUUUCCAGGUGUAACAAGCCACAUGCAUCCCCUUUAGCAGGUCACCGAGCUUGUCCUCAGCUGUUGCUCCUCUCCUGUAACAGGCUGACUGGACCUGGGGGCGGGGCUCUGCCCAUCGUCAUGUGGACCUGGUGAGCCUGUCACAGGAACAGACGGCAGCCUCACCUGCCACUAAUCAAACUCCCAUCCGAAGGGGUCUCAGCUCGACUGUUCCCGAGGCUCCCUAGAGGCAGGGGCCUGUGGGGAAGGCUGUUUCAUGACAGAACUUGCCCACGGAGGUAAAAGCCAUCCCCGAUUCUGUCCUCCUGGUGGGAGCUGUCAGGAAAAAUACAGAUAGAGGCAGCUCUAAAGCUGUUCGUGGCCCUGGGACCCCAGAAUCCCACGUUUAGAAAUGUGCCCCCCCUGGAAAUAACAGGUGAUUUGUGCAAAGAGGUUUGCGGCAGGGUGAUUAAAAGAGAGCAGAGUAAUGCAGGGCUGGACAAAUGCAGAGUGGACAGGGCUGCCCACCAGUUUUCUUCUCUCCCAACUGAACAAGUUCACGGCUCUCAGAGUGUCCCCCAGUUGUGACCUCAUCUGACCCUCACAGUUACUGGUCCCCACGAGGCAAGAGGGCUUAGAGAAUGAUCAUCCCUGUUUCGCACAAGAAGAAAUCAAGGCCCAGAGAGUCCGAGUGACUGACAUAAGGUCACACAGCUUAUUGAAAGUCUAGAACCUGGGCCCCAGCCUCCUGACCCUCCAUCCAGUGCUUUUUUUCACCACCCCUGGCCACCUUUAGGAGCAAAUUAAAAAUAAAAAGGAUGGGGGCUUCCCUGGUGGCACAGUGGUUGAGAAUCUGCCUGCCAAUGCAGGGGACACAGGUUCGAGCCCUGGUUGGGGAAGAUCCCACAUGCCGCGGAGCAACUGGGCCCGUGAGCCAAAAAUAAAUUAAUUAAAAAAAAAUAAAAAUAAAAAAAUAAAAAGGAUGGACACGUGAGGCCUGGGAACGUGCAUGUGAAAGAACGCUAAGUAGAUCAGACCAUGAGAUGGGAGACAGGGUGGGUGCCUGCGUGUAAUCUCUGUAAAUAAAAUUCCUAAGUGUA